GGAAUUUCCACAAUGGGCGCAAGCCUGAUGGAGCAACGCCGCGUGGGGGAUGACGCACUUCGGUGUGUAAACCCCUUUUCGAGGGGACGAAGGCAAUGACGGUACCCUCGGAAUAAGGAUCGGCUAACUACGUGCCAGCAGCCGCGGUAAGACGUAGGAUCCGAGCGUUGUCCGGAGUUACUGGGCGUAAAGCGCGCGCAGGCGGACACGCGCAUCGGCGGUGAAAGCCCCCCGCUCAACGGGGGGAGGGUCCGUCGAGAUGGCGUGUCUGGAGGCAGGGAGAGGCCAGUGGAAUUCCGGGUGUAGUGGUGAAAUGCGUAGAGAUCCGGAGGAACACCAGUGGCGAAGGCGGCUGGCUGGACCUGACCUGACGCUGAGGCGCGAAGGCGUGGGGAGCGAACGGGAUUAGAUACCCCGGUAGUCCACGCAGUAAACGAUGGGUACUAGGUGUGGCGGGAGUUGACCCCUGCCGUGCCGGCGCUAACGCAGUAAGUACCCCGCCUGGGGAGUACGGCCGCAAGGCUA
RNAcentral lists this ribosomal RNA (525 nucleotides) under uncultured Chloroflexota bacterium. RNAcentral describes it as "bacterial SSU rRNA". It matches the Rfam family "Bacterial small subunit ribosomal RNA", at positions 359 to 896 of the family's 1533-position model. The record is from RNAcentral. Lineage: Bacteria; Bacillati; Chloroflexota.